GGUGGUAAAGCUCAGUGGGAGAGCAUGUGCUCAGCAUGCACUAAGUCCUGGGUUCAAUCCCCAGUACUUCCA
This 72-nucleotide transfer RNA is filed under the name Camelus bactrianus (Bactrian camel). It matches the Rfam family "tRNA". From Rfam's summary of the family: Transfer RNA (tRNA) molecules are approximately 80 nucleotides in length. Their secondary structure includes four short double-helical elements and three loops (D, anti-codon, and T loops). RNAcentral also lists the same sequence under 2 other names. The record is from Rfam by way of RNAcentral. Lineage: Eukaryota; Metazoa; Chordata; Mammalia; Artiodactyla; Camelidae.